This 216-nucleotide long non-coding RNA is filed under the name Ananas comosus (pineapple). RNAcentral's name for it is "long non-coding RNA (ACOM_LNC013516)". The record is from RNAcentral. Lineage: Eukaryota; Viridiplantae; Streptophyta; Magnoliopsida; Poales; Bromeliaceae.
UCGGUCGAUGUACUCGUCGAAACACUGUAUUGGUGAGCGAGAUGUUGGGGUGGCCAGUAUCAUUAGUUGUGUGCCGGGUUUUUAGGAUUUAUUUGAACAGGGGAAUCUUCAUCAGAUUUGUGAUUUUCCGGAGCAAACCGGUUAUUGUUUGGAGUUGAUCAGAGAAUUUUACAUGAGAGCAGGUCACCUCAGUGACUCCGACGGCGGUCCGUACGU